GAUGAACGCUGGCGGCGUGCCUAAUACAUGCAAGUCGAGCGAACAGACGAGGAGCUUGCUCCUCUGACGUUAGCGGCGGACGGGUGAGUAACACGUGGAUAACCUACCUAUAAGACUGGGAUAACUUCGGGAAACCGGAGCUAAUACCGGAUAAUAUAUUGAACCGCAUGGUUCAAUAGUGAAAGACGGUUUUGCUGUCACUUAUAGAUGGAUCCGCGCCGCAUUAGCUAGUUGGUAAGGUAACGGCUUACCAAGGCAACGAUGCGUAGCCGACGUGAGAGGGUGAUCGGCCACACUGGAGCUGAGACACGGUCCAGACUCCUACGGGAGGCAGCAGUAGGGAAUCUUCCGCAAUGGGCGAAAGCCUGACGGAGCAACGCCGCGUGAGUGAUGAAGGUCUUCGGAUCGUAAAACUCUGUUAUUAGGGAAGAACAAAUGUGUAAGUAACUAUGCACGUCUUGACGGUACCUAAUCAGAAAGCCACGGCUAACUACGUG
Molecule: ribosomal RNA, 497 nt
Filed under: uncultured bacterium
Lineage: Bacteria
Description: partial 16S ribosomal RNA
Rfam family: Bacterial small subunit ribosomal RNA
Source: RNAcentral